Long non-coding RNA from Lycium ferocissimum, 1312 nucleotides. RefSeq lists it as uncharacterized. The record is from RefSeq and is a predicted model, not a curated record. The transcript is spliced from 5 exons. Lineage: Eukaryota; Viridiplantae; Streptophyta; Magnoliopsida; Solanales; Solanaceae.
GUUUUUCUAUUCAUUUCUACAACUAAUUGAUUCUGGUUAGGCUUUCUAUACAUGUUUCAGUUGUGUUGUAUUCGCUCAAAAUAACAGUAUCGUUUUUUUUUUCCUCUUUUCCCCUUUUCCUACACUCUAUAGUAGCAUUCCGUAUGUACUGAUUCCAUAUUCACUGUGCCUUACACAAUGUGUGCAAUCUUUAACUACAAUUAUGUUAUCAAAGCUUUUGAUCCCGUCAACUCCAUCAAAUUCAAAAUAAUAUUUGAAGUCAGCCUACUAGCAUCUGGAGUUGAAAGUGUCUUUAAAGAUUGACAAUAACCAGUUUUUCUUGAAUUUGUUGAAGGUGCAGAGAACCAGUUUUGAAGAGCUCCAAAGAGGUGGUAAAAGGCAUGUUUGAAUCAGAAAACAAAGAGGAAGAGAAGUGCAAAGAACGCAAUAGUGUUGGCCGUGGGGAGUGCUUUGGAGACGCUGUGCAGACUGAUUGGUGAUGGACAAAUACAUAUACUUGGGGUUUACACAGUGUUUCAAUCGCUCCUCAUUGGGAUACUCUGCACGAUAUUAGUACUGGCAGUAAGAAAUCAUCAGGCCAAUCUUUUCACAAACAUCAAGGAUUUACAACGAGCCAUUCGACCUUGCUUGGCUUCUCGAAAUAACCAUGCUUCGUAAUAGUGUUCAGCCUGUAAUAUCAGUUGUUGCUAUUGGAGGUGGAUGGCAAGGUUUAGUGGCUUAUAUCAAAUUGGGAUCUUACUAUGUUUCUGGUAUUCCUCUAGGAUAUACUCUUGCUUAUAUGGCUAACUUGGGAGUCGUGGGUCUAUGGGGAGGAAAGAUCCACAAGCUCACAAGUUGGUAGUAAGAAAAUUGGUUUAUUGCAACCGAUUCACGUCUUUUGGAAUUUCAUAUCUCAAAAUGAUGGCUUCUCAUUUCUUCUCUCCUUCAUAGGUCCUAUACAAGCCCAAAGACGAAACGUUACUGUAAGGCACCAUGAAGCAUCUCAGCGGCCUAUGGACGUAAAUGUAAAAAAAAGGACAGUUGUGCACCUCUUUAUUUACUCGCAAAGCUUUAGACUUUCACUCUUUUUUUCUUCAAAUGAUGAGGCUAUAAUUUAGAUGAAAUUUUAUUGAACACGGAUGAAAUAACAUAAAUACAGUUGGAUGACCUCUCAGAUGAAGGGAAUAUUAGAGGUGAAAACUUCAAAAUUUAUGAGUUCUAUUGGCAUAAUCUCUCUAAAUUAAAUGAAAGCAUCAGGGAGUUAAAAAGUUCCCACUGACUUUGAGUACUUUAUAUAUGAAUCCACCUUUAUCUUUUUGAUACUCACAACUUC